GAUGAAGAACGCAGUGAAAUGCGAUAAGUAAUGUGAAUUGCAGAAUUCAGUGAAUCAUCGAAUCUUUGAACGCACCUUGCGCCCUUUGGCCAUUCCGAAGGGCAUGCCUGUUUGAGUAUCAUGAACACCUCAACUCUCAUGGCUUGCCAUGAUGAGCUUGGACUUUGGGGGUCUUGCUGGCCUGUGGUCAGCUCCUCUCAAAUGAAUUAGCUUUCCAGUGUUUGGUUGGCAUCACAGGUGUGAUAACUAUCUACGCUUGUGGUUUCCACCAGGUAACCUUCAGUAACAUGGGGGUUUGCUGGAGCUCAUAAAUGUCUCUCCUCAGUGGGGACAGCUCUUUGAACGUUUGAUCUCAAAUCAGGUAGGACUACCCGCUGAACUUAAGCAUAUCAAUAAGCGGAGGA
This 404-nucleotide unclassified non-coding RNA is filed under the name soil metagenome. RNAcentral describes it as "partial contains 5.8S ribosomal RNA, internal transcribed spacer 2, and large subunit ribosomal RNA". The stretch from base 1 to 121 matches the Rfam family "5.8S ribosomal RNA", at positions 35 to 154 of the family's 154-position model. The record is from RNAcentral.